GGGCCUGUAGCUCAACUGGACAGAGCGUCCGGCUUUUUACCGGAAGGUUGGGGGUUCGACUCCCUUCGGGCUCA
Molecule: transfer RNA, 74 nt
Filed under: Nanobdellota archaeon
Lineage: Archaea; Nanobdellati; Nanobdellota
Description: tRNA-Lys
Rfam family: tRNA
About the family: Transfer RNA (tRNA) molecules are approximately 80 nucleotides in length. Their secondary structure includes four short double-helical elements and three loops (D, anti-codon, and T loops).
Source: RNAcentral